Molecule: small nucleolar RNA, 127 nt
Organism: Hippopotamus amphibius kiboko
Lineage: Eukaryota; Metazoa; Chordata; Mammalia; Artiodactyla; Hippopotamidae
Product: small nucleolar RNA SNORA3/SNORA45 family
Exons: 1
Source: RefSeq, a predicted model, not a curated record
CCCAUGUCUAGAGUCACAUCCUGACAGCUCUCGUCCCGGUGUGCUGGAGCCUUGGAGAGCAUCUGCUGGUCUCGAUUCACUGUGAGGGCAAUCAGUGCCCCCAGGAGUGCCCAGAUCAGAAACGCCC